This 1154-nucleotide long non-coding RNA is filed under the name Callithrix jacchus (white-tufted-ear marmoset). Its description in RNAcentral is "lncRNA (ENSCJAG00000073365.1)". The record is from RNAcentral. Lineage: Eukaryota; Metazoa; Chordata; Mammalia; Primates; Cebidae.
UGCUAGGUCUCCUGCCCACGUACGAAUCGGUCCCUUUGUGUGAACGGACAGCCACUUUUGACGGCCUCAUAAAACAGAUGAAGUUUCCAUCGUAAAAUUUCUGGAUCACAGACACCAGCUCAUGUUCCCUCUUCCCAUUAAGGAGCUGGGCUUCUGAUUUAUGUUCUCCAGGCUUUGUGUCACCUGUUCCCAAAACUGUAACUCACAUGAUGAAUAUCCCUAAGCGCUCUCCACGGUGUUAAAAAGCGAAGCGGAGUCCUGGUGUCCUCUUGCUAAGUUUGGAAGGAAACCAGAGGCCCUUCCUUUCCAUUUGGCAGCCUGCCAGGGCAUGACCUCUGUUCAGAAGCCAACAAGGAGCAUGAUUUUAAAAAUGGCCUAUUAAAAGCUUUAACCAGACUCUCCCAGCAAGACUAAGUGCCCACCAUGGAACAAUUAACGGUGGAGCGGGGACGCUCAGCCUUCUCGCACGCUGUCUGCGAGGACGGUGGAGUGGGGACGCUCAGCCUUCUCCCAUGCUGUCUAGGAGGACGGUGGAGCGGGGAUGCUCAGCCUUCUCGCACGCUGUCUAGGAGGACGGUGGAGCGGGGAUGCUCAGCCUUCUCCCAUGCUGUCUAGGAGGACGGUGGAGCGGGGACGCUCAGCCUUCUCCCAUGCUGUCUAGGAGGACGGUGGAGGGGGGACACUCAGCCUUCUCGCACGCUGUCUGGGAGGACGGUGGAGGGGGGAUGCUCAGCCUUCUCCCAUGCUGUCUAGGAGGACGGUGGAGCAGGGAUGCUCAGCCUUCUCCCAUGCUGUCUGGGAGGACGAUGGAGCGGGGAUGCUCAGCCUUCCAUGCUGUCUGGGAGGACGGUGGAGCGGGGAUGCUCAGCCUUCCAUGCUGUCUGGGAGGACGGUGGAGCGGGGAUGCUCAGCCUUCUCCCAUGCUGUCUGGGAGGACGGUGGAGCGGGGAUGCUCAGCCUUCUCCCAUGCUGUCUGGGAGGACGGUGGAGCGGGGAUGCUCAGCCUUCUCCCAUGCUGUCUGGGAGGACGGUGGAGCGGGGAUGCUCAGCCUUCUCCCAUGCUGUCUGGGAGGACACGCUGCUCACGGAAUAAAAGCAGGGCACGCCGAGGGCGCCUGGAAAAUGACUUCUCUCCUUGCAGAAUUCCUAUUUAA